CCUACGGGAGGCAGCAGUGAGGAAUCUUGGUCAAUGGACGCAAGUCUGAACCAGCCAUGCCGCGUGCAGGAAGACGGCUCUAUGAGUUGUAAACUGCUUUUGUACGAGGGUAAACGCAGAUACGCGUAUCUGUCUGAAAGUAUCGUACGAAUAAGGAUCGGCUAACUCCGUGCCAGCAGCCGUGGUAAUACGGAGGAUUCAAGCGUUAUCCGGAUUUAUUGGGUUUAAAGGGUGCGUAGGCGGUCGGAUAAGUUAGAGGUGAAAUCCCGAGGCUCAACUUCGGAAUUGCCUCUGAUACUGUUCGGCGAGAGAGUAGUUGCGGUAGGCGGAAUGUAUGGUGUAGCGGUGAAAUGCUUAGAGAUCAUACAGAACACCGAUUGCGAAGACAGCUUACCAAGCUACUUCUGACGUUGAGGCACGAAAGCGUGGGGAGCAAACAGGAUUAGAUACCCCUGUAGUC
Molecule: ribosomal RNA, 460 nt
Filed under: uncultured bacterium
Lineage: Bacteria
Description: partial 16S ribosomal RNA
Rfam family: Bacterial small subunit ribosomal RNA
Source: RNAcentral